This 85-nucleotide transfer RNA is filed under the name Candidatus Limimonas egerieequi. Its description in RNAcentral is "tRNA-Tyr". It matches the Rfam family "tRNA". Rfam says of the family: Transfer RNA (tRNA) molecules are approximately 80 nucleotides in length. Their secondary structure includes four short double-helical elements and three loops (D, anti-codon, and T loops). Further hydrogen bonds mediate the characteristic L-shaped molecular structure. tRNAs have two regions of fundamental functional importance: the anti-codon, which is responsible for specific mRNA codon recognition, and the 3' end, to which the tRNAs corresponding amino acid is attached (by aminoacyl-tRNA synthetases). tRNAs cope with the degeneracy of the genetic code in two manners: having more than one tRNA (with a specific anti-codon) for a particular amino acid; and 'wobble' base-pairing, i.e. permitting non-standard base-pairing at the 3rd anti-codon position. The record is from RNAcentral. Lineage: Bacteria; Bacillati; Bacillota; Clostridia; Eubacteriales; Acutalibacteraceae.
GGGUGGAUAGCGAAGUGGUUAAACGCAUCAGACUGUAAAUCUGACGACUAUGUCUUCGGUGGUUCGAAUCCACCUCCGCCCACCA